GGAGGGUGAAACGAAGAGAAGAAGGAGAAGUAAGGGGAUAGGAGGGAGAUUUCAGAGGAUUUGCCCGUGCUAUUUUAAGAGAAAGAGAACCGACUUAUAGUACACCGCGCCCCUUAACUUCCACGUCGUCGUCGUCGUCUUUUCGUUGUCUUCUUCCUCUUCGUCUUCGUAUUCGUAUUCGUAUUCGUUUUCAUUUUCGUUUUCUUUUUUGUCGUUCACAUCUUCGAAGAGUCAACGACGAACUAUCGCGAGAUACGUACUUCUUUUUUCUAUUCGAUUUUGAUUUCACGCGAAACCCAUAUCAUUCGAAAGCUUUCAUUCGUUAUUACGAAGUGUUCGUAUAUCGAGUAACAGAUAAUCCAACAAACGAUCGAAGUUUCUCCAAGUAUAUGUGUGUACAAAAAAAAAACAAAAAAAAAACAAAAACAAAAAGAUAAAAGAAAAAGAAAACUGUAUCAUGGAUGGAGAAGGUGGAAGAGAACCGAGUCGUUAAAUUUCGAGUGUGGUGUGCAGCCGGUCUCAGAUAGCCUCUCAUAAUGGCAUUGCACAGACGAUGAGUAAUUGGUUUCGAAUGGAUUAAAAUGAAGCUGAAGUCCUGCACAAGACGUAUUACGUUCUUUGCACCUUCCACAACGGCUGCUUCGAUUCUUAGCCGAUGUCGCAGCUCUUCGACGCGUUCCUCCAAAGCAAGUUCCAAGCUUGGCUCGUACCUAUCUACAAAAAUAAUUGCAAAAUAAUCAUUGAGUUUACACUGACAUAUAAAUCAUAAUAUAUAAUUCUUUUACGAUCAAAUAACAUUAUAAUAAUAUAAUAAAAAAAUAUUAUAUAAUAUGUGUAUAUAUAGAAAAAAAUAUAUAUAUAUAUUUUUUAUUUAUUUAUUCAAUGUUAAAAAUAUUGAUCUUGUUGCAAUUGAACUCAGCUAUAAUAUAAAUAAAUUAUAAUUUAUUAUU
Molecule: long non-coding RNA, 950 nt
Organism: Vespa velutina
Lineage: Eukaryota; Metazoa; Arthropoda; Insecta; Hymenoptera; Vespidae
Exons: 3
Source: RefSeq, a predicted model, not a curated record